GCCCGAAUGGCUCAGUGGUAGAGCAUUUUCUUGGUAAGAAAAAGGUCGAGAGUUCGAUUCUCUCUUCGGGCUCCA
This 75-nucleotide transfer RNA is filed under the name Candidatus Woesebacteria bacterium. RNAcentral describes it as "tRNA-Thr". It matches the Rfam family "tRNA". From Rfam's summary of the family: Transfer RNA (tRNA) molecules are approximately 80 nucleotides in length. Their secondary structure includes four short double-helical elements and three loops (D, anti-codon, and T loops). Further hydrogen bonds mediate the characteristic L-shaped molecular structure. tRNAs have two regions of fundamental functional importance: the anti-codon, which is responsible for specific mRNA codon recognition, and the 3' end, to which the tRNAs corresponding amino acid is attached (by aminoacyl-tRNA synthetases). tRNAs cope with the degeneracy of the genetic code in two manners: having more than one tRNA (with a specific anti-codon) for a particular amino acid; and 'wobble' base-pairing, i.e. permitting non-standard base-pairing at the 3rd anti-codon position. Lineage: Bacteria; Candidatus Woeseibacteriota. The record is from RNAcentral.